GGGUUGUGAGGUUAAGCGACUAAGCGUACACGGUGGAUGCCCUGGCAGUCAGAGGCGAUGAAGGACGUGCUAAUCUGCGAUAAGCGCCGGUAAGGUGAUAUGAACCGUUAUAACCGGCGAUUUCCGAAUGGGGAAACCCAGUGUGAUUCGUCACACUAUCAUUAACUGAAUCCAUAGGUUAAUGAGGCGAACCGGGGGAACUGAAACAUCUAAGUACCCCGAGGAAAAGAAAUCAACCGAGAUUCCCCCAGUAGCGGCGAGCGAACGGGGAGGAGCCCAGAGCCUGAAUCAGCAUGUGUGUUAGUGGAAGCGUCUGGAAAGGCGCGCGAUACAGGGUGACAGCCCCGUACACAAAAGCGCAUGUGCUGUGAGCUCGAUGAGUAGGGCGGGACACGUGGUAUCCUGUCUGAAUAUGGGGGGACCAUCCUCCAAGGCUAAAUACUCCUGACUGACCGAUAGUGAACCAGUACCGUGAGGGAAAGGCGAAAAGAACCCCGGCGAGGGGAGUGAAAAAGAACCUGAAACCGUGUACGUACAAGCAGUGGGAGCACAGGUUUACCUGUGUGACUGCGUACCUUUUGUAUAAUGGGUCAGCGACUUAUAUUCUGUAGCAAGGUUAACCGUAUAGGGGAGCCGGAGGGAAACCGAGUCUUAAUUGGGCGUUAAGUUGCAGGGUAUAGACCCGAAACCCGGUGAUCUAGCCAUGGGCAGGUUGAAGGUUGGGUAACACUAACUGGAGGACCGAACCGACUAAUGUUGAAAAAUUAGCGGAUGACCUGUGGCUGGGGGUGAAAGGCCAAUCAAACCGGGAGAUAGCUGGUUCUCCCCGAAAGCUAUUUAGGUAGCGCCUCGUGAAUUCAUCUCCGGGGGUAGAGCACUGUUUCGGCUAGGGGGCCAUCCCGGCUUACCAACCCGAUGCAAACUGCGAAUACCGGAGAAUGUUAUCACGGGAGACACACGGCGGGUGCUAACGUCCGUCGUGAAGAGGGAAACAACCCAGACCGCCAGCUAAGGUCCCAAAGUCAUGGUUAAGUGGGAAACGAUGUGGGAAGGCCCAGACAGCCAGGAUGUUGGCUUAGAAGCAGCCAUCAUUUAAAGAAAGCGUAAUAGCUCACUGGUCGAGUCGGCCUGCGCGGAAGAUGUAACGGGGCUAAACCAUGCACCGAAGCUGCGGCAGCGACGCUUAUGCGUUGUUGGGUAGGGGAGCG
Molecule: ribosomal RNA, 1208 nt
Filed under: Salmonella enterica subsp. enterica serovar Paratyphi B var. L(+) tartrate +
Lineage: Bacteria; Pseudomonadati; Pseudomonadota; Gammaproteobacteria; Enterobacterales; Enterobacteriaceae
Description: partial 23S ribosomal RNA
Rfam family: Bacterial large subunit ribosomal RNA
Source: RNAcentral